This is a long non-coding RNA of Heterocephalus glaber (naked mole-rat), 1195 nucleotides long. The record is from Ensembl. Lineage: Eukaryota; Metazoa; Chordata; Mammalia; Rodentia; Bathyergidae.
GACGGUUGUGAGCCCCUGCUCGAGCUUGAAUAAACGACCCUCGUGUGUUAGCAUCGGAAUCUGCUCCUUGGUGGUCUUUGGGGACUUCGCGAUCUGGGCAUAACAAGGGAACCAACUGCAGAGAGGAGCUCAGCAGAGUGGGAUCUAGAUACAAACAAAAGGAUUUGUCCUAGACACCCAAGAACAAGCCAGAACGAAGCUCUUUCCCGCCAAACGAAGACCAGGAAAUCAACAGCGCCUGCCCAGGCUCCGGGGGGCAAGAGUCGGGAGAAGGAUAGGGCGUGGCAAAAAGAAGUAACAUGGAGGGAAGGAAGGAAAAACCAGACUUUCUUCAUGAGAGCCUUGGAGGUGCAAUGCUUGUUACCCUCCUGCAGUGUGGUGCCUUCUCCAAGCCCUGGAUGGAAGAGGAAAGAGUUGGAAGUUGGGAGCCUCCUGAAAAGCUGCCUAUGAAGUGGUAAAAGCUGAAGAAACUGGUACCCUGACUGGAGUAGAUGGCCAAUGACCAGAAUUGAAUCACCUGGCAUCUGGCUUUUCUUGAUAUUAGUUCCGGAUUUAUGUGAAAGGGUCCUUUAACGUCUCCAAGAAUGGUUCCAAUAGAGUUGGCGGAGAUAACAGAUGUGUAUCACUUUGGUAGAGAUGCUCUUUAAAAGAAGAAAGCCAGCCAUAUUUGCUUAGGUCUAGGACCCCUCCUUGGUGGUUGAUGAAGGAGGGAGGAAGGUACAACCCCAAGCCGAAUAGGCCCCCCAUAGUUUCCUAGUAAUGCAGUAAACAAAUCUAUGAUGCUUGUUGAAUAAUCUUCCAAUAAUUGCAGUCAUUAAAAUCAUCACACAGUCUACCGUCACCUUCCUUCCUUUGACAUACCAGUCUUCCCUUUAAUUGUUAAUGCAUUUUUGGUUCACAUAAACAGAUCAAGGCAAGCUUAAAAUAUAUGGCCCAGAUAAGAUACAUGUGGCAAAAAAAAAUUACUUGUGUACCAAACGUUUGGACUGUAUUUAAGAGACUAGUGGUUUUCAGUUUUUCCAGCAGGCUUUACAGAGGCAAGGAAGAUUCGUACCUCCUACCCCUCUAAAUAGCAGUAACACCUCCGAGGUAGGAAAAUUUUUUUAAAAAGAUGAAAGUCUCAUUGGCCUAUUGAUUCUUCCUGGCUCUUUUAUUUGCAAGGAUUGGGUUGUAAAGAGGGAGGGCAUUAUAGAAC